GCUCUUCACGAUACAUUUAAUUUUUAUUGGUAGAAAAGUCUCGUACCUCAUCACAAGCGCCAUGAGGAUAAAAAUAAAGCGGACAUUAUUUGUAUCUGUAUGUACAUAAAUAUAUAUUAGGACUCUUGAUAUAUGUGACUCUGGGGUUGGGUAUGUUAUUGGUAUGGGGGGGGUGUUUUGGGUAUGUGAUGGGUAUGGGGGGAUGUUUUGUGCAUGUGAUGGGUAUGGGGGUGUGUUUUGGGUAUGUGAUGGGUAUGGGGGGUGUUUUGUGCAUGUGAUGGGUAUGGGGUGUGUUUUGGGUAUGUGAUGGGUAUGGGUGUGUGUUUUGGGUAUGUGUCAGGUAUGGGAUUUAACCUGGUAGCAGCGGGGAUCAUGUUUCUUAAUGGUCCCUCUAGGUGAGAAAAAUGAGAAAAAAUCAUCACUCACACAAACCAUUUCAUAAUAUAUAUCAAACCAUUUGUGAUCAGUUUAUGUAUCAUCUAUUUUGGGGGGGUUAUAUCAUGGAACAAAUUUGGCCCGUCGCUGCUACAUGGUAAAGCCACAAAUUUGGCCCGUCGCUGCUACACGGUAAAGCCACAAAUUUGGCCCGUCGCUGCUACACGGUAAAGCCACAAAUUUGGCCCGUCGCUGCUACACGGUGAAACCACAAAUUUGGCCCGUCGCUGCUACCGGGUCAAUUCACUAUAGCCUGAUCACAUGUUGGACUCGUCAUCGCCAGCAAGUACCCUCCCAAUUAGACCAAGGCAUAUUAUAGUCGAUCUCUGGGUUCUGCCGGGACCUUAACCAUUUCUAUUUCUUCCUCACAUCACAUACAAAGCAAUUUCACGUACCCUAACAGUCCCCUUCUCAGCCAUGGGGGUGGGGAGGGCAGACCUAAAGGGGGGUGAGGGAGGGGGGCAUGAAGGCCUCUUAGUACACAGUGAAGUGGUCCCUGUACAACGAACACUACGACACAGGAAUAAAAGGGACUAGAAAGGUGAUUUUAAGUGGUCUGGUGAAACUCUGGUGCAUCUGAUGGGUUUUUUACUUUGUUUAUAAGUAUAGGAAUGAACUGGGUUUUUUUUACUUCUUUUAUAAGCAUGAGAAUGAAGGUGAUUUUGAUUGGUUGUGAAAAUCUGGUGCAUCUGAUGUGUUUUUUUAAUUCUCUUAUAAGCAUGAGAAUGAAGGUGAUUUUGAUUGGUUGUGAAAAUCUGGUGCAUCUGAUGUGUUUUUUUAAUUCUCUUAUAAGCAUGAGAAUGAAGGUGAUUUUGACUGGUUGUGAAAAUCUGGUGCAUCUGAUGUGUUUUUUUAAUUCUCUUAUAAGCAUGAGAAUGAAGGUGAUUUUGACUGGUUGUGAAAAUCUGGUGCUAUCUGACCUGUUUUUUUUAAUUCUCCUAUAAGCAUGAGAAUGAAGGUGAUUUUGACUGGUUGUGAAAAUCUGGUGCUAUCUGACCUGUUUUUUUAAUUCUCUUAUAAGCAAGAGAAUGAAGGUGAUUUUGAUUGGUUGUGAAAAUCUGUUGUCUUUUUUUUAUAGUAAAGGAAACAGCUCAAGGGAAAAAAAAAAUAAUAAUAAAAAAGGCCCAUAAAUCACUGCUCCUAUCUAUCUGGUACACUUUCUGGUAACAUUUCAUUAUAUUAGAAGGUAGGCAACAAGCUGAAUUAUCUGCUAUUUGGUUAGACUCUUCCUUAAAAUAUAUUUGGGGAACUCAGUCACCACAAUUUGACUCAACUUUGGUUAUCUUCAAGAAACAAAGAUACGUGAAAAUGAAGAUGAAUGAGUAACACCCACACUUCUUGAUCCACUGGGCCUCACUCACACUCUUCCUAACAGUAAUAUUAACCCUUAGAUGGCGGCAGUAUUUUAAGAGAAGCUCCCCACAAAAUGAAUGGUCUAUAUACAGUCACUGCCAACCUUAGGACCGUAGCAUAAAUAUAGUUACGCCGCAUAAGAGGUGUUUUAGCCUGGUAGCAGCGGGGAUCAUGUUUCUUAAUGGUCCCUCCAAGCGAGAAAAAUGAGAAAAAAUCACCCUCACACAAACCAUUUCAUAAUAUAUAUCAAAUCAUUUGUGAUCAGACUAUGUAUCAUCUAUUUGGGGCGGGUUAUAUCAUGGCACAAAUUUGGCCCACCGCUGCUACACGGUAAAGCUACAAAUCUGGCCUGUCUCUGCUACCAGGUUAAAUUUUGUCUAUUUAUGGAUUCUACUGCAAUCUGGCAGUGUUGUUAUAUUUCUGCCAUACAAAACUGCAUGACUGAAUUUUGGACAGUCUGUAUAGAGUUCCACCGCCAUCCAAGGGUUAAACAAUCAAAUAAAUCUUUACAUUCCUCAUCGGAGCACCAUGUGACUUGCUAAGCUUAAUGUCACAAAGCAAGAUAUAUACCUCACCUCUCCACCCGAAAC
Eriocheir sinensis (Chinese mitten crab) is the source of this 2378-nucleotide long non-coding RNA. RefSeq lists it as uncharacterized. NCBI's taxonomy places the organism in Eukaryota, Metazoa, Arthropoda, Malacostraca, Decapoda, Varunidae. The record is from RefSeq and is a predicted model, not a curated record. The transcript is spliced from 2 exons.